CCCGGUUGUAUAUCCUUUGCUUUCAGUAUUUGCCUCUUGAUAUUACAAUUUCCUAAUUCGUUUCGAGGAGAACAAAUUUCCCUCUUUUCUAUUCUCGCAUCUCUAAUGCUUGCUUUUCUACUCCACCCAUCUCUCCCUCAGGCCACCGUCAUCGUCGCUACAAAAGGAUUCCUAACUCUCUUUCGUUUUCUUUUGACUUUCUGCAUUUAUCUCGCUGCUUGGGGUAUUUGCCAAGAAAUUGAAGACUUCACUGGUGCUUGAGCUCUAUUGGCGAUUUCUACGCCGCACAGUAUUCCCGCAAAUAAUUGACAGGCAUGGCUUAAGCACAAUAUUGAUAUCCUUUAGAAGCAAAGACCAACUUCGGCAUCGUUGAUUCUUGAAGUAUCUUUAAUAUUUUCUAAUGGCUCCUUCAGAAAUAGAAGUUUUUGAAACCUUAAAUUACAAACCCUUACACCACUCUUCUCCUACCCAUUUCAUUCGACUCAUUACCACCAGCACCACCGGGUUAUUUAACCCAGUAUUUGCGAGUUAUCAAGUUUCAUGACUGAGCCGCUUCUCUUCGAUUCAGCCCGAAUGGAUUCGUCUUAAAACAAUGCCCAUCUAACUUAGCCAAAUCUGAUUUUUGGAAAUUGUCUAGUGCUAAAAGUCGGCUCUUUAUCUCUUCAAAUUGGGACUGAUUUAGUGUGAUUAGUAAUUGUAAAGUGGUUUUUGCUUUGUCAUUUUAUUGUCCUUUGAUUAAUUGCACUCUUUGCAUUUUUAUUUGGUAUUUUUUUUGUUGGAUCAUUUUUUUUAUGUAAUUAAUGGUUAAAAGAGUGUUUAAUGAUAUUAGUUUUGUUUUUGUUGCUCUGUCAUCUGGCUUCACGGCUUAACAAUGAAGGUGAUAGCCUUUAUUCUUCGUAAUCCGACAUGAAUUUUACUAUGUAAUUAUUAUUAUUAAACUGAUUUUUGGUUUUGUUCUAAUAUAAGUUGUUGGUAUUGCAAAGCAUGGUGAAGAAACAUGGAUGUUGGUAUAAAGUCAAUGUUGCUACUUCAGGAAUCUGUGUUGAUAAAAAGAUCAAUUGGUGGUUUGUAUGGUGGCUUUGGUGUAGUACUGUUAGUGGUACUUAAGAAAUUAGAAAGAAAGGAAAGGAAUAAGAGCACAUAUGGGUUGUCUCUGUAUUUUUUUCAAAUACUUGCGCUGUUUUCUUCUUUUUUUUCUUCUUUUUAAGAGAAAAGGGUUAGGAGGGGAGACCAUUGUCUACGGCUGCAUGAAAUCACUUUCCUUGUAUCAGCAGAAAAAUAAGAGACUGCACUGUUAAAUUACAAAGUUUAGACAUAGACUAUAGUUUUAGCCAAUUUUGUGUUUAAUUGGACCAAAAUAUACUUAAAAGUGAUUUUAAUUUCAUUUAAGGUGGAUAUUCUGUUCUUUGAUUAAUCUAAUAUGCAGUAUUCAAUUUGGUUUGAGAUUGAUAAAAAUAUGGCAAGGGAGAUCAUAAAUGACAGGUCACUUGUUUCAAGGUGGUUUGUCUUUGACACUUUCUUUCUUGUUCUUUUUUUUUUUUUCCGAAAGUUCUAGUUUUUGCAUAGAUGUUUAUCAAAAUAGGAUUAACUUAAGUUCUGGAUAUAAAACAGUGGGCUUUUAUGUGAUUGCAGGUGGUUUUGACACCAAGCCAUCUAGCUAUGGAGUAUGCUGCUGGAGGAGAGCUCUUUGAGCAAAUCUGCGAUAUUGGAAGAUUCAGCAAAGAAGGAACGCUUUGAUGCAACAUGAAGCUGAAAUGGUGAUAUUUGAUGAGUUUCCAUAGAGAUUGAUGCUUUGGAGAAUUUUGGAUAAAAUGGAGAAAAGAUGGCAAAAGAUCACUUCAGUUAGAGCGUGCCUGCGGCAUAUUCCAGAAAUUCGAAUUUGUGAAAAGAAGCUUAAAGUGAUACUAUUUGCCAUGUCACUUUUUAAUUUAUUUUUGGGAAUGUUUAUUUACUAAAAACCCCUCACAACUUAAGGUUAUUUUAGGAAUUCUUAGGGACCAAGUUCUCCUAUAAAAAGAAAAUGAUGAAAAGAGACAAGGAGAGUUUUUUUUAGGUUUGAAAAAAAGGGGGCUGCAAACUAGUUUUUUUCCUAUCAUCCAUUGUUUUUCUUCUUUGCUUUAUUUUCUCUACAACAAUUAUGUGCGACUGAACUCUUUUCUUUCCAACUCAAGGUUAAUUAAGGUUUGAAUUCAUAUGGGUUGUGAGAUUUAA
This is a long non-coding RNA of Ricinus communis (castor bean), 2211 nucleotides long. RefSeq lists it as uncharacterized. NCBI's taxonomy places the organism in Eukaryota, Viridiplantae, Streptophyta, Magnoliopsida, Malpighiales, Euphorbiaceae. The record is from RefSeq and is a predicted model, not a curated record. The transcript is spliced from 2 exons.